This 464-nucleotide ribosomal RNA is filed under the name uncultured Klebsiella sp. RNAcentral's name for it is "bacterial SSU rRNA". It matches the Rfam family "Bacterial small subunit ribosomal RNA", at positions 338 to 795 of the family's 1533-position model. The record is from RNAcentral. Lineage: Bacteria; Pseudomonadati; Pseudomonadota; Gammaproteobacteria; Enterobacterales; Enterobacteriaceae.
CCUACGGGUGGCUGCAGUGGGAAUAUUGCACAAUGGGCGCAAGCCUGAUGCAGCCAUGCCGCGUGUGUGGAGAAGGCCUUCGGGUUGUAAAGCACUUUCAGCGGGGAGGAAGGCGGUGAGGUUAAUAACCUCAUCGAUUGACGUUACCCGCAGAAGAAGCACCGGCUAACUCCGUGCCAGCAGCCGCGGUAAUACGGAGGGUGCAAGCGUUAAUCGGAAUUACUGGGCGUAAAGCGCACGCAGGCGGUCUGUCAAGUCGGAUGUGAAAUCCCCGGGCUCAACCUGGGAGCUGCAUUCGAAACUGGCAGGCUAGAGGCUUGUAGAGGGGGGUAGAAUUCCAGGUGUAGCGGUGAAAUGCGUAGAGAUCUGGAGGAAUACCGGUGGCGAAGGCGGCCCCCUGGACAAAGACUGACGCUCAGGUGCGAAAGCGUGGGGAGCAAACAGGAUUAGAUACCCCUGUAGUC